UGGGGAAUAUUGCGCAAUGGGCGAAAGCCUGACGCAGCGACGCCGCGUGAGGGAUGAAGGUUUUCGGAUCGUAAACCUCUGUCAGAAGGGAAGAAACCGCACUGUGCUAAUCAGCAGUGCCUUGACGGUACCUUCAAAGGAAGCACCGGCUAACUCCGUGCCAACAGCCGCGGUAAUACGGAGGGUGCAAGCGUAAAUCGGAAUUACUGGGCGUAAAGCGCACGUAGGCUGCUUUGUAAGUCAGGGGUGAAAUCCCACGGCUCAACCGUGGAACUGCCUUUGAUACUGCUUAGCUUGAAUCCGGGAGAGGGUGGCGGAAUUCCAGGUGUAGGAGUGAAAUCCGUAGAUAUCUGGAGGAACAUCAGUGGCGAAGGCGGCCACCUGGACCGGUAUUGACGCUGAGGUGCGAAAGCGUGGGGAGCAAACAGG
RNAcentral lists this ribosomal RNA (429 nucleotides) under Fusobacteriota bacterium. RNAcentral describes it as "Fusobacteria bacterium partial 16S ribosomal RNA". It matches the Rfam family "Bacterial small subunit ribosomal RNA", at positions 355 to 776 of the family's 1533-position model. Lineage: Bacteria; Fusobacteriati; Fusobacteriota. The record is from RNAcentral.